GCCAGGUUUGCCAAGCUAGGUUAAAGGCGCUGGACUUAAGAUCCAGACUCGUAGGAGUUCACCGGUUCAAAUCCGGUACCUGGCA
This 85-nucleotide transfer RNA is filed under the name Acidobacteriota bacterium. RNAcentral describes it as "Acidobacteria bacterium (anaerobic digester metagenome) tRNA-Leu". It matches the Rfam family "tRNA". From Rfam's summary of the family: Transfer RNA (tRNA) molecules are approximately 80 nucleotides in length. Their secondary structure includes four short double-helical elements and three loops (D, anti-codon, and T loops). The record is from RNAcentral. Lineage: Bacteria; Pseudomonadati; Acidobacteriota.